CUCACCUGGUUGCUGUGACCACACUUCUUCUUGCGGCAGUUGACAGCCCUAGGGUGCAGGCGCGCAUAGCAUCUCUUACUUGCGGCAGAUCAUCUUGUCCUGGUUGUACUUGCGGGCAAGCGCCUGAAGCGACGGCUCGAUGAUACCGCCACGGAGCCUGAGGACGAGGUGGAGGGUGGACUCCUUCUGGAUGUUGUAGUCAGCCAGGGUGCGUCCGUCCUCCAGCUGCUUCCCGGCGAAGAUCAGCCGCUGCUGUGGGUGCGUACCCUCCUUGUCCUGGAUCUUAGCCUUGACAUUGUCGAUGGUGUCGCUGCUCUCCACCUCGAGGGUGAUGGUCUUCCCAGUCAGGGUCUUCACGAAGAUUUGCAUCUUGGCG
Molecule: small RNA, 376 nt
Filed under: Oryza sativa Japonica Group (Japanese rice)
Lineage: Eukaryota; Viridiplantae; Streptophyta; Magnoliopsida; Poales; Poaceae
Description: sRNA Os03g0234350
Source: RNAcentral